GAGAGAGAGAGAGAGAGGAAAGGGGAGAGGAAGGGCUUCUACGUCACCGCUCUCUGGAUGCACGCCAUCCACCCGCGCACGCUCGCCACCAACCUCGCCGGCUUCACCAGGUUCCUCCACGACCCCCGCGAUGAGCGCAAGGACCAGGACGACGUCGCCGCGGCGGCCCCGGGGGCAAGAGCGGCAAGCGGCGUUGCGUCGACGGCCUUGCCGCCGCCGCGGCUGAGGCCGCCAAGGCCCGGCGCGAGAAGGAGGCGGAGCACGCGCAGGCCGUGCUCGCGCGCUACGACUCUGACGAGGCCUUCCGCAACCUCUACGACAGCGUCGCCGACCUCUUCGUCUGGCUGCUCAAGUCGGGCCUGGAGCACCUGCGCGCGGGCAACACGGCCAAGAUCGUGUUCGCCGCCAAGUGCGCUCGUCGUACGCAUGGGUCUCCUUUGCUCCAUGGGUGCCGCUGGCUGAGGAUGGAGCAGCAGGCAUAGAAGAAAUCUACAACCAGUUUCUCUUGGCUGCGCCAUCUUCCGCUGACAGUAACUCUACACAACAGCCUGCUAAGGUUGUUUCUUGCAAAAAAAAAAAAAACAUAAGUCUUGCAUCAUUCAUAAAAAAGUAUAUGGUCAAUUUCCUUUAUAAAUGUUGUGCUUAAAAGUACCUUAGUUAAGUCCAUCGACCGUGAGAUCUUGCUCGCCGGCCUCAUCUUUUUCUUCAGGUCGGUAGUACGUCGUUUCAAUCCAGGGUUAAGAUUCAUCUCCCUUCAACUAUAAUUUGAACAUUUAGCCUUUUUCCGCUCAUUACAAGCGACUAGGGAGCACAUGUGUGCUCCCUAGCAUUCCCGAGCACACACUUAAAUUUUUUUUAUCCUAAUACUAUGAUAAAAAAUCCACUCUAAAAAAAGAAAGAUCUUGUCUCAUGUGUAAUUAUUUUGUGUGUUCAACUUUUUUAAAAAAGUCAUAACUUUUGAAUGGAGCAUCAAAAUUAAGAUCCGUUUUCACCGUUAGAUUCUGGGCGACGUGCUCUUCAAAACUAGAUCCCAUAUUGAUAUGUUUCGACGAACUUUUGUUCUUCGGGCAACUUUGGUUCACUAUAAGGCAACUUUGGUACCACUGUAGGCAACUUUUGGUUAGGGUGUGUAUCAUGGUCACCUAUCAUCCGGAUGUUCCUUUGAGUUGGCUAUGAUGACUGCCAAAAUGCCUAGCAUCACGUGUAAGUUGUCUACCAUGACUACCUAUCAACUUUGCUGCUAUAUGAAGCACUUGCUGCCAGGUUGCCUAUGAUGACUACGUAUCAACUCAAUGCUCUUAUAAACUUGGCUAUCAUGAUUCUCAAGUUUCAUAGGGUCACCUAUGAAGUUGUUUUUGAUGAUUAGGCUAUGUAUCAUGAUCACCUAUAGGCAACUUUGUUGUUUCUCAAGCAACUUUGUUGUCACAAAUAGGCAACUUUCGGUUAGGCUAUGUAUCAUGAUCACCUAUCAUCCCGAUGAUUCUUUUGACUUGGCUACAAUGACUACCAAAUUGCCUAGCAUGACAUAUAAGUUGCCUAGUGUCAACUAUGAACUUGCUUUCGACUAUCCUUUUUUUUCACAAGCAACUUUGGUGCCACGGAGAGGCAACUUUUGUAUUACAGUAGGCAACUUUCAAUUAGGUUGUGUAUCAUAGUCAUCUAUCAUCCUAAUGUUCUUUUGAGUUGGCUACGAUGACUAUCAAAUUGCCUAGCAUCACUUGUAAGUUGCCUACCAUGACAACCUAUCAACGUUGGUGCUACAUGACCCAUCUUGUUGCUUAUUAUGACUACCUAUCAACUCAAUGCUCUUAUAAAGUUGGGUAUCAUGAUCUCAAGUUGCUACGCAUCACCUAUGAAAUUGCUUUUGACGAAAAACUUCUCAAGCAACUUUUGUGCCACGGAGAGGCAACUUUUGUAUUACAGUAAGCAACUUUUGCUUAGGUUGUGUAUCAUGGUCAUCUAUCAUCAAAAUGUUCUUUUGAGUUGGAUACGAUGAAUACCAAGUUGCCUACCAUCACAUGUAAGUUGCCUACCAUGACUAGCUAUCAACUUUGAUACUACAUAAUGCACCUCGUUGCUAGGUUGCCUAUGAUGGCUACAUAUCAAAUCAAUGCUUUUAUAAGUUGGCUAUCCUGAACGUUAACUUGCCUAGCGCCACCUAUGAAAUUUCUUUUGCUGAACUUUUUUCUUGUCAGAUAGGCAACUUUGGCGGAUGGGGAGGCAACUUUUGAAAUAAGAGGCAACUUUAAUACCAUGGGGGGGAGGGGGGAGGGGCAACUUUGGUGCUACGAGAAGCAACUUUGUGGUGCACCAGGAGAAGUCUGAUGAUAAGGCUGAAGCUCUUUCAUCUUCUAUUGAUGGAAAGAAUGAUAAGGAUGACCAGGGGUAGAUGACCAAAAAAAGGGAGCUGUGCUACUGGAAAGGGGGCUGGGACAGCAAAGAAAUCAAGGCAGUUACUACUCUGCGCCAUCUAUGCAGAGAUUAAUUACCUAUAGAAAAGAAUACCUUUAUCCUGAUAGGCAUGGAAACACCGCUUCGCAUUGAGUGCAUCAUCGCUAAUCAGCUACUAUCUAUGAGAGCAAUGGAUAUAGAAGAAAUAUGUAAACAGUUGUCCCUAGAAGAAAUAUGCAACAACUUAUUCAGUAGAGAGCAAGGGACAUAUAAGAAAUCUCCAGGCAGCUUCGCUUAGAUGCAUCAUCUUCUGCUAGGACCUAGGAGUCAGCUUGAAGAAUGACCUUCUCAGGUUAAUUCUUUAUAGAGAACAGGAGACUGCAACUGACAUGCUGGAUGGUGAAUAACCAAAUUUGUGGACAAAGACAGAUAGUUCAUCGCAAGGGGUGGUGUUUAGGAUAUAUAUACACAAAAGAGGAAACUUUCUUUUGUACAGAACCAAAUUAUAUGAUGUAAUUGACCACUAUUUCUAAGAAAUGUUCAUCGUGUAUUAAGUACA
Molecule: long non-coding RNA, 2950 nt
Organism: Triticum dicoccoides
Lineage: Eukaryota; Viridiplantae; Streptophyta; Magnoliopsida; Poales; Poaceae
Exons: 9
Source: RefSeq, a predicted model, not a curated record